Molecule: ribosomal RNA, 230 nt
Filed under: uncultured Geobacillus sp.
Lineage: Bacteria; Bacillati; Bacillota; Bacilli; Caryophanales; Anoxybacillaceae
Description: partial 16S ribosomal RNA
Rfam family: Bacterial small subunit ribosomal RNA
Source: RNAcentral
GGCGACAAGUCGGAGGAAGGUGGGGAUGACGUCAAAUCGUCAUUGCCCCUUAUGACCUGGGCUACACACGUGCUACAAUGGGCGGUACAAAGGGCUGCGAACCCGCGAGGGGGAGCGAAUCCCAAAAAGCCGCUCUCAGUUCGGAUUGCAGGCUGCAACUCGCCUGCAUGAAGCCGGAAUCGCUAGUAAUCGCGGAUCAGCAUGCCGCGGUGAAUACGUUCCCGGGUCUU